Molecule: long non-coding RNA, 303 nt
Filed under: Olea europaea subsp. europaea
Lineage: Eukaryota; Viridiplantae; Streptophyta; Magnoliopsida; Lamiales; Oleaceae
Source: RNAcentral
GUCAUAUCUUGUUAGGAAGACCAUGGCAAUAUGAUAGAAGGGUCACACAUGAUGGAUAUAGGAAUCGUUAUAGCUUUGUCAAGGAUGGGAAGACUAUUACUCUUGCGCCAUUAACACCGGCACAAGUGUAUGGAGAUCAAAUCAAGCUGAAAAGUGAGGAAGACGAGAGAAUAAGAGAGUCGGGAAAAAGGAGAGGCAAUAGUGAAACCAUCAAUAAGAGAGAAAAUAGUGAGGUGGCUGAGAGUGGAGAAAAGAGAGAGAAGCCACAUGAGCGGAGAGAAAAGGAGUCAGUUGAGAGGAGAG